CUACGGGGGGCUCCAGUGGGGAAUAUUGGACAAUGGGCGCAAGCCUGAUCCAGCAAUGCCGCGUGAGUGAAGACGGCCUUAGGGUUGUAAAACUCUUUCGCUAGGGAAGAUAAUGACUGUACCUAGUAAAGAAGUCCCGGCUAACUCCGUGCCAGCAGCCGCGGUAAUAGAGAGGGUGCGAGCGUUAAUCGGAAUUACUGGGCGUAAAGCGCGCGUAGGCGGUUUGAUAAGUCAGAUGUGAAAGCCCCGGGCUUAACCUGGGAACUGCAUCUGAUACUGUCAAACUAGAGUAUGGUAGAGGGUAGUAGAAUUCCUGGUGUAGCGGUGAAAUGCGUAGAUAUCAGGAGGAAUACCAGUGGCGAAGGCGGCUACCUGGACCAAUACUGACGCUGAGGUGCGAAAGCGUGGGGAGCAAACAGGAUUAGAUACCCGCGUAGUC
RNAcentral lists this ribosomal RNA (439 nucleotides) under uncultured bacterium. RNAcentral describes it as "partial 16S ribosomal RNA". It matches the Rfam family "Bacterial small subunit ribosomal RNA", at positions 339 to 795 of the family's 1533-position model. The record is from RNAcentral.